GCCUCCUCUGUGCUUGGAUCUAUGUUUCCCCACCCCCAAUGCUGAUCCUUCUCGCCUCGAUGUCCAAGAGCUCCGAUAUGUCGUCCACCGAGCCCCGGUGCUCAGAUCACAACACAUGCCAAAGGAUUUGGCGGGCGUAGCAGGGUGUCGUUCCCACGGGCAUCCCUGGAUCAGGAUUGUGGAAGUGAGUGCCAUGGGGCAGGAGCUAGACGUGAAGGUGCCAUUGCUGCAUGAUGAGGGUGUGGAUUCCAUGAAAGCAUAUGACUGAAUUGAGCUUCUUCUAAGCAUUUUUUUAUGAUGGGGCAUUCAAAGCUGGUGAAUUGGACUAGAUAUUGAGUUUACAGGAGCAGUCAGGGAUAAUAUGCAUGGUUCUGUAAUUAGUGUGGAAACCUGAGCAAGACGUAAGGCGUGUUUCUAAAAAUGUUCUUAGGACCAGUAAAUCUACGGACAACAAGGAAGAUUGUGCAACAGAAGGUGAAGGAGGAUAGAAGGCAGAAGGGGGAUGGACGGGCGACAACGACAUUGGUGCGGCGAUAAAGUUGGUGAGCACAGAAGGGGAGCUAGGUGUGCCAGUGACACUGGGGCAACACAGAAGGGGGCAGGCGACAAAGUCAGGGUGAGUACAAUAAGGGUACGGCGACGACGGAGUCGAGCGCUUCUACCUUGUGUCGAUCCGAUACAACGAUAAUAGAACAGAAGUGGAAUUGGAUUGUUUU
Molecule: long non-coding RNA, 716 nt
Filed under: Zea mays
Lineage: Eukaryota; Viridiplantae; Streptophyta; Magnoliopsida; Poales; Poaceae
Description: drought-responsive long non-coding RNA
Source: RNAcentral